UACAGGGGGUGCAAACGUUGCUCGGAAUUAUUGGGCGUAAAGCGCGCGUAGGCGGCUACUUAUGUCGGAUGUGAAAGCCCUUGGCUCAACUGAGGAAGUGCACCCGAAACUGAGUAGCUGGAGUACGAAAGAGGGUCGCGGAAUUCCCGGUGUAGAGGUGAAAUUCGUAGAUAUCGGGAGGAACACCGGUGGCGAAGGCGGCGACCUGGGUAGAUACUGACGCUGAGGCGCGAAAGCGUGGGGAGCAAACAGG
This 253-nucleotide ribosomal RNA is filed under the name uncultured bacterium. RNAcentral describes it as "partial 16S ribosomal RNA". It matches the Rfam family "Bacterial small subunit ribosomal RNA", at positions 524 to 776 of the family's 1533-position model. The record is from RNAcentral.